RNAcentral lists this ribosomal RNA (95 nucleotides) under Trichococcus patagoniensis. Lineage: Bacteria; Bacillati; Bacillota; Bacilli; Lactobacillales; Carnobacteriaceae. The record is from RNAcentral.
GUCACACCUGUUCCCAUCUCGAACACAGAAGUUAAGCUUCUUAGCGCCGAUUGUAGUGAAGGGUUUCCCUUUGUGAGAGUAGGACGUUGCCGCGC